GAUGAACGCUGGCGGCGUGCCUAAUACAUGCAAGUCGAGCGAACGGACGAGAAGCUUGCUUGUCUGAUGUUAGCGGCGGACGGGUGAGUAACACGUGGAUAACCUACCUAUAAGACUGGGAUAACUUCGGGAAACCGGAGCUAAUACCGGAUAAUAUUUUGAACCGCAUGGUUCAAAAGUGAAAGACGGUCUUGCUGUCACUUAUAGAUGGAUCCGCGCUGCAUUAGCUAGUUGGUAAGGUAACGGCUUACCAAGGCAACGAUGCAUAGCCGACCUGAGAGGGUGAUCGGCCACACUGGAACUGAGACACGGUCCAGACUCCUACGGGAGGCAGCAGUAGGGAAUCUUCCGCAAUGGGCGAAAGCCUGACGGAGCAACGCCGCGUGAGUGAUGAAGGUCUUCGGAUCGUAAAACUCUGUUAUUAGGGAAGAACAGAUGUGUAAGUAACUGUGCACAUCUUGACGGUACCUAAUCAGAAAGCCACGGCUAACUACGUG
This 497-nucleotide ribosomal RNA is filed under the name uncultured bacterium. RNAcentral's name for it is "partial 16S ribosomal RNA". It matches the Rfam family "Bacterial small subunit ribosomal RNA", at positions 28 to 507 of the family's 1533-position model. The record is from RNAcentral.